CAGUCGCCGCGGGAAUACGAGGGGGGCAAGCGUUGUUCGGAAUUAUUGGGCGUAAAGGGCGCGUAGGCGGCUGUGUAAGUCAGAGGUGAAAGCCCGGGGCUCAACCCCGGAAUAGCCUUUGAGACUGCAUAGCUUGAACACGGGAGAGGUGAGUGGAAUUCCGAGUGUAGAGGUGAAAUUCGUAGAUAUUCGGAAGAACACCAGUGGCGAAGGCGGCUCACUGGACCGUUGUUGACGCUGAGGUGCGAAAGCGUGGGGAGCAAACAGGAUUAGAUACCCCCGUAGUCCCUGUCUCUUAUAC
This 301-nucleotide ribosomal RNA is filed under the name uncultured bacterium. Its description in RNAcentral is "partial 16S ribosomal RNA". It matches the Rfam family "Bacterial small subunit ribosomal RNA", at positions 509 to 807 of the family's 1533-position model. The record is from RNAcentral.